CUAAUUUUCCCCCCUAAAAUUUGUAUCCUCAAAACACCCUUUAGGUGUUUCUAUCCGCCACCACGCCUUCAUCAUCAUCAUCGUUCCCUACUUUUGCUACUUUAAGCUCCUCUUCUUCUCAACCACCGUCUUUGUUUUUCUCUUGUUUAUCCAGUCGGUGUAUUUUUCAGGAAAAUCCAAAUUUUUCCGAAAGAUUUCCCGACCGACGAUUAUUCCAUCUUUAUCUUUUCGUCAAAAUCUCGAAAAUCAAAACAAUUCCGGUGUUUUUGUUUUUGAAGCUAAAGAGUCAUCUUGUUUUCCUUCUCCUAAUCGCUUGAUUUUGCCGCUAAACCUCUUCUGAUUUUGCAGCUAGGUACACUGUGAGAUCUUUUGGAAUCAGGCGUAAUGAGAAGAUUGCUUGCUACGUGACUCUGAAUAUUUCAAGUACAAAAGAUGAAAAAUAAAGAAGAAUCGUUUCAAGUACUCAUCUAUCUUUUUUUUCCUUCUUACUUUCACUUUUUAGGGUCUGAAAUUUCUUGAACUUUUUUCAAUUUAGUCGAAUCUGAACUGCACUAUGGAUGCUUAUCUGUAUGCAAAUCAAAAUAUUAUAGUCUAUAAGUUUAAAUCGGUAUAAAUAAAUAUAAUUUUCCUUUUAGCUCGUUUCUGUUUGCCUUAUAAAUAAAUAUAAUCGGUAUAUUUAUAAAUAAAUAUAAAUCGGUGUACACGGGAUCUACCAUAGUUGGCGCAGGAAUACCUUUGCUGUUAUUAUCAGAGGUCCACAAAUUGUUUUGCCUUUGUUUCGUUUUUCGUUCAUCUAUUCCAACAACAUAUUGAACAAUAAUUGCUUGCGUCACAGUUAUUUCCAAUAAAUGUAAAAGGUUCAGCAGGAAGCAUAUGUAAUUUUAUGGGCAGUUUCAUUGGUUGGGUUGUUGCAUACUACUUUAACUUCCUACGUGAAUGGAGCUCAACAGGGACAUUCUUUAUAGUUUCAGCCUUUUGCUGUGCAAACUUCAUCCUAUUAGCAAUAAUGGUGCUCGAGACUAAAGGACGAACACUGGAGGAAAUACAAGCAUCAGUUAGUCAUUCUUCAGUUUGACAUACCAUCAGCAAUUUGCUUUAAAAUUUGAUCUGUCUUGCUGGGUUUUUGUGCUGUGUCUUUGCAGAGUAUCGGGUAGUCCUUUCAAUUCUUAGCCAUGGCAGAACAGACGGAGAAAGCAUUUCUCAAACACCCCAAGGUGUUUUUAAGGUGAACUAGCUUCUUCCAUGUCUUUAUUAAUUCUUGGUUUUGUUGAUUUCAUUUUUAGAUUAUUGUUUUCCCCCCCUGUUAAAUUAUGAAUCCAUCUGUUACAAAUCUGUUUUGCAUUGUUCAUCAAAUAACAUGCACAAAUAAUAUUAUUUGUAUAUAUUUUGAGGAAAAUUAUAAUAUUAUUAUAUAUAAUCAAUGCAAAAUUUUUAAGGCACCUUAUUAAAUACGAAAUUUAUAGGCACGAAACUAAGAAUGAUUGAAGCUUCUGCAAACUUUUUUGUUGUCAACAUGGCGACUUUAGCUUUCUCAGCAUCAAUAAUUACUGAACUGUUAACCUUAAUCUCCUCGAAAUCACAUUCCUUAGCAAGCUUCAUAACUAGCUUAACGACACACUAAUCUCUUAAAAGCAAAGAAUUUAAUUGAAGUUCAUAUUUUUGCAAGUUAAAUUUAGUAGAGUCUGUCAUCAUUCAUUGUGUGGUUAUUUGUGUUUUUCGGCCACUGUAUGUUGUUUUUGCUUUUUCCUUUUGUGGUGCUUUGUCGCACAGCACUUGGGCUACAUAUCCCCACGAGUUUGAAGACUUCGCUACUAAAAUUCUGUGGAAGGCAAAUUUCUCUAUAAAUUAUGAAAUUGUUCUAAAAGAAAAGAAAAAAGCUUAAAAUGUGAAAAAAAAGAACUCAUCAAACUGUUCUUUUUUGAACAUUAAAUACCUCUGCUAGUAAUUUUGGAUACCGCUUCUUUGCUUCCAAUCAUACCUUGUUUAUUUCUAUUCCAAUUAGAUUACAUGUUUUUUAUUACUUCUUAUCUACAUGUUUUUUAUUCAAUUAUUGGAUAUUCUGUUUGAUUCCGUGUUAAAAUGUGGAAGGUGUUACUGGAUUAUGGAUUGGCAUUCUGUAACUAUUUUCCUUGACAAACUUAGAAAUAAAGCAAUCACAUUCACUAUUUUUCAAGCCACUUGCAUCUUACUCCUCUAUGUUGAAUCAAAUUGAGGAAUUGCUAAGUGCUAGAGACUAUAAAGCUGCCAUGCAGCUAUCAGAAAAUCUAAGAAGCUUGGCACUGAAGGGACUUCAUUAUUUUCAAACUUUUGAGGAUUCACUUCGGCUUUCUCUUCUGUUUUUGCUUCUUUGAUUCAGCUAAUAGAGCAUGUAGAUACCAAAUUUGCAGUUCAAAUUCGAAGUCAUGCUCAAAAGUUUUUCUCUAAGGCUCAUUGCUUUGAGUUCAUUACAAGAUUUCCUUAAUUAAGUAAAUGUAUUGUAUAUUUUAUUACCUUGCAUAUGUAUUAUUUAUUUUAGUUUUGAUUCUAAAUUUUUAUUUUUA
This is an RNA transcript of Gossypium raimondii (Peruvian cotton), 2540 nucleotides long. It is a transcript of the gene named sugar transporter ERD6-like 16, with no coding region annotated. The transcript is spliced from 4 exons. Lineage: Eukaryota; Viridiplantae; Streptophyta; Magnoliopsida; Malvales; Malvaceae. The record is from RefSeq and is a predicted model, not a curated record.